AUAUAAAAAAUAACGUGUCUAAUGUCGGCACUACUUAAAGGCGAAUGCGUUGGCCGACGCGUUGGCCGGCGCGCUGGCCCAAUGUGUAGAACGGGCGUUCACACGUUGGC
Molecule: long non-coding RNA, 110 nt
Organism: Aricia agestis (brown argus)
Lineage: Eukaryota; Metazoa; Arthropoda; Insecta; Lepidoptera; Lycaenidae
Exons: 3
Source: RefSeq, a predicted model, not a curated record